Cornus florida is the source of this 2639-nucleotide long non-coding RNA. RefSeq lists it as uncharacterized. Lineage: Eukaryota; Viridiplantae; Streptophyta; Magnoliopsida; Cornales; Cornaceae. The record is from RefSeq and is a predicted model, not a curated record. The transcript is spliced from 2 exons.
GUGUAGUUAUGCGGUAGAUAGCGAGUGUUUGGUCUGACAGGGACAUGUAGAUUUGAGUUUGAGCUUGAUUGUGUGACGAAUGAAAUUCCUUGUCUAGGGUUUUGUGUAUUCUUUAAGGGAUAAGUUGGGAUUCAAUGUUUUCGAGUAUGCGGGAACUGUUGGAUCUGAAUUUCGAGACGAAGUUCUUUUUAAGUGAUGGAGAAUGUGACAACCCGAAUUUUUAAGAUUUUAAUUUAUCUCAUUAUAUUUUAUUUAGUUGUCAUAAUUAAAUAAUUUAAUUAUGAUUAGACUUACCAAAUUAGAGAUUUUGGGUUAUUGAUAAUUUAUUUUUUUUUUUAAUUUUUGAUUUUAGUAAAUUAGUUUUAUUUAUUUAUUUAGUAAGUUGGUGGGUUUUGAUGAUAGAUGUGUACAAUACAUGUAUUGGAUUAUUGGUGAUGAUGGAAAGAUGGAGAUUUUUAAAUUGGUUUGAUUUGAUUUUAUUAUAUAUAUAUAUAUAUAUAUAUAUAUAUAUAUAUAUAUAUAUAUUGUAUGCUGAAGAGAAGCUUUUAGACGAAGUGGACUGAAAAAAAAAAAAAAAAUGAAAUGGUAAUGGCUUUAGGUGCGGGUCCCACUUGGGAAAAUGUGGAGCUGCUGACGUAGAGAGAGAAAUGAGAAGUGGUUGUUUUAUUUAUUUACUUUUUAAGUGGAGAUAUUUGUUAAGUAAGGUAAUGAUGGCAUCUGAUGUGGUAGGAAGCAAAAAAGGGAGUGGCUGCCAAAAUUUUGUGGGAGAAAAAAAAAAAAAAAAAAAAAAAAAGUUUGUUGUGUGUCCCACUAGGAGUAUUUUAAGCCAAGAAAUUCACUUGGCUUUGCUUGGUUCAGUUGGGUUGGUCUGAUUUAUUGAAGUGAGAGAUUGUGUAAUGUUUAGUGAUUUUUCUGAUGACGCAUUGGGAUUUUAAGCCAAGAAAUUCACUUGGCUUUGCUUGGUUCAGUUGGGUUGGUCUGAUUUAUUGAAGUGAGAGAUUGUGUAAUGUUUAGUGAUUUUUCUGAUGACGCAUUGGGCUGGUUCAGAUGGAGAUAUUUUGUAUAGUUAGUGUCGGUGCAUUUUCCUUUUAUAAAGUGACUGUUUUGUGACUUUGGUGAGCAUAUUAAUAGAGUGAAGUAUUGAAGAAGCACAUUCACAGAGAGAGUGAGCCGAGAAAGAUAUAGUGAGCAGAGAGAGAGAGAGUGAGAGCCGAGAUGAACAGACAAGAAAGGUUCGAGAGUUGCAGAGAAGGCCUGAAGUUAGAGGCUUUGAUGAUCUAGUGAGGAAAAAUUCUUUUUUUCAAGGACACGGAAGGGAAGUGGCGGAGACGCUCCUCCACAGGGUUGGUUGGGUCAGUGGAAUAAAUCUUGGAAUGACACGCAUAUUAUAUAUUGACAUAGGAGAGGACGGUAGUGUCCUUAAUUGAUCUCGGGUUCGGAUAAGGACUCGGUUAGCGAUUCGAACUCUCAGGUUCGGGUCAUUACAACUACGUCAAAGAUGGAUUGCAAACUCAGAAUAUUUAUUAAAAUUUGAGUAAAAAUCCUCUGUAAUUUUUCCUCUGAUAGCAAAAUUUUGUGAGUUUGCCCUGUGGUUUUUCCCCCUACACUGGAGGGUUUUCCACGUAAAUUUUGGAUGUCAGUGUGUUUUUGUUGCUACGUUUAUUUUAUACUAAUUUUUCUUAAGCAAACUAUUUGGGACCAACAAGUGGUAUCAAAGCGAGUUUGGUCGGUGAUAUAUUAUGCUGUGAUUAAAUUGAUGGCUUCAAACUAUGGGGUUUGGAAGCCUAAAAUGGAAGAUAUCUUUUAUUUUAAGUAUUUAUGUGACCUUAUUAAGGGUGACACUGCCAAACCUGCUCAGAAAAGUGCUAAAGAUUGGGAGAAGACGAACGGGAAUAACAGAAAAUUUGUGGGGCUGGUCAGAAAGUGGAUUGAUCAUAAUGUGUUUCACCAUGUUCCACAUGAGACUAAUGCUUAUACUCUAUGGAAGAAAUUGGAGUCGUUAAGAGAGGACGACUACUCAGAAUAAAGCAUUUUUUUUUAUAACAAGUGAAUUUGAAGUUCAGGGAUUUUUGUUGUGGAGCACUAGAGUGAUUUUCAGAGUUUGGUGAACCAGUUAUCCAAAAUGAAGAUGGUGUUAGAUGAUGAGUUACAUGCAUUGUUACUUCUUAGUUCAUUGCCUAAUAGUUGGGAGACUUUGGUGGUAUUGCCCAGCAAUUCUGUUCUAGAUGGUAAAAUGACUCUAAAAGGGGUAAAACAAAAUACAUUUGCAUUGACCAAUUGUAUAUCAUUUCAGAUUAACGCAAGGAUUAAUCCCAAACAAAUCCAAGUAAGAAUUCUCUAUGCCAAGACAAACAAAUCCCAACAUGUGUUAGAUGACGAGUUACAUACAUUGUUAUUUCUUACAUCGUUGCUUGAUAGUUGGGAGACUUUGGUGGUAUUGCUCAACAGUUCUGCUCUAGAUGGUAAAAUGACUCUAAAAGGGGUAAAAGAUUGUAUGUUUUCAAUGAAGAAUUACGACAAAAGAAUGUUCAUAGAGAUCAAACUCAAGUUCAAGCUCUUGUCGCAGAGGAUAAAGACAGAAGGAGGUCCUCGGAGUUUGUUGGAAAAUAAACUUGAUUUUAAUAUUUAGUAUUUUCAAG